RNAcentral lists this small nucleolar RNA (75 nucleotides) under Blastobotrys adeninivorans. Its description in RNAcentral is "snR78". The record is from RNAcentral. Lineage: Eukaryota; Fungi; Ascomycota; Dipodascomycetes; Dipodascales; Trichomonascaceae.
GGAUGGGAUGAACCAACCUUUCAAAUCAAACUAGAGUUUGUGAAGCUAUUAAUGAGCACAACCCACGGUCUGAUC